AUCUGCCUCCGGGUUGGGGAUAACUGUCCGAAAGGAUGGCUAAUACCGAAUGAGAUGGUGGUUGCAUAAGCAGCAGCCAUUAAAGGUGGGGACCGCAAGGCCUACUGCCUGGAGAUGAGUCCGCGGCUGAUUAGCUUGUUGGUGGGGUAACGGCCUACCAAGGCGACGAUCAGUAGCCGGCCUGAGAGGGUGAACGGCCACAUUGGGACUGAGAUACGGCCCAGACUCCUACGGGAGGCAGCAGUUAAGAAUCUUGCACAAUGGGCGCAAGCCUGAUGCAGCGACGCCGCGUGAAUGAUGAAGGCUUUAGGGUUGUAAAGUUCAGUAAGCAGGGAAGAAUAAGCGCCGGGUAAUAUUCGGUGUGAUGACGGUACCUGCCUAAAGCCCCGGCUAACUACGUGCCAGCAGCCGCGGUAAUACGUAUGGGGCGAGCGUUGUUCGGAAUUAUUGGGCGUAAAGGGCGUCUAGGCGGGAAAUUAAGUUAGGUGUGAAAGCUAUGGGCUCAACCCAUAAACUGCAUCUAAAACUGAUUUUCUUGAGUUCGGGAGAGGAGAGCGGAAUUCCAGGUGUAGCGGUGAAAUGCGUAGAUAUCUGGAAGAACACCAGUGGCGAAGGCGGCUCUCUGGCCUAGAACUGACGCUGAAGCGCGAAAGCGUGGGGAGCGAACAGGAUUAGAUACCCUGAUAGUCCACGCUGUAAACGUU
This 704-nucleotide ribosomal RNA is filed under the name uncultured bacterium. Its description in RNAcentral is "bacterial SSU rRNA". It matches the Rfam family "Bacterial small subunit ribosomal RNA", at positions 124 to 810 of the family's 1533-position model. The record is from RNAcentral.